Long non-coding RNA from Meriones unguiculatus (Mongolian gerbil), 2217 nucleotides. RefSeq lists it as uncharacterized. NCBI's taxonomy places the organism in Eukaryota, Metazoa, Chordata, Mammalia, Rodentia, Muridae. The transcript has 4 exons. The record is from RefSeq and is a predicted model, not a curated record.
CGCGGAUCCAGGGAGCCGGGAGGGAGAGGGCCGGCGGCGGGGCGGGGCGCCCCUCGCGCCCCCUGCAGGCGCCCGGCCCCGGGGAGCCGGCCCUCCUAGCUAUGCCCGCCCGCCGCCCCCGACCCCCGACCCCUCGGGCCGCCCCUGCUGCGGGCUGCUGCGAACCGGGCUGGCGGGACGCGGGGGAGGCGCACGGCGCGGCGCGGGGAGCGGCCAGGUGCUCCAGCAUGGAUGAAUUACAUCAUUACUCUAGGCCUGGAGGACACCUAAUGAGCGUACACAGGAUGUGAAUGAAGACUGGCGGAACUUUUAAGAUGUGCUGUCCUACUGCGGGGAAGAUAAGUUGAAACACCACUGGCAACAGCCACGAGUUUCUCUGGGCUAAAGUGACAUAGGAAUGAUGGGAGAAAAUUAUACUCUUGCAAUGUAUUCCAUAAAUAAUUGAAAUCAAGAUUCCAGGGCAUGGAAACCCUGAGAAAUAAAGAAUCAUUAAUGUCCAUUCUCUCACUCAGCGCUAAACAACAAAAAAACAGCAGCAAGAAAAUGUGAUCCUGGCACCUACAUCAUCAUUUUCCUUAUUUCUGUCACUGCCUGUCAUCUUGAGCAAACUAUUUAAAAUUUUUGAAUCUCACCUUACUCACGGGCUCAGAAAACAUCUUGGAUGAUGGGGCAGAAAGAAUAUAAAAGCUGGCAGAUGGAGAAAAGAGCUGUGAAAUACUGAAUCAUGGGCAUGAAAAGGCCAUUACACACACCACUUCAAAGCAGCCAUGGUUACCUGCAUAAGAUCAAGCCAGUAAACGUUCCAGCAUGGAUCAGGGAGAGGACCAUCAUGUGCCACCCUUUGGAAGGCGCUAUUGGCAGGCGAUGGCUGCUAAAGGAGGGAGAAGCAUUCCCCCUUGGGGGCACAUGAUUGAUGGGUUUCCGAUGCUCCAGUAGAUGCAUCCCAUACCCAUACACAAACAGGAGGCACUCAUCGGGUUCAAGAAAUUAUUAAUGAUGAAAAAAGAACAACAUGAAGUUGGCAAGAUGAUGGAGUGGAGAACACUUGAGGGAGGUCGUGGUCUUACAGAUAGUAACUUAUUAAACGAUGACGUGGGAGAAGCCGAUGACCUGCUGUUUCUGAUGAGGAAAGCAGGCUGUGGAAAAAGCCCAUAUGGAGACAUGUGACAUGGAAGGACACCACUGAGAGAACACUAUUCAUUCACAGUGACCAUCCCUGGCAUUUAGCGACAGGCCAGUUCUCCCCUACAUUUGACAGGGUUGUCUGUGUUUUCUUCUUUAGGCGCUUGAGACUUGCCUCGUUAAUAGAAAUACAGUUGAAAAAAAGCAGAAACAUCCAGGCGUGUUGGCCCAGGCCUUUCACCUCUGUCCUCAGUAGGCAGAGGCAGGCAGAUCCCCUCGAUGCAGAGUCUAACCUACUCUGCAUAGUCAGUUCGUCCUGGCAUACCACAAACUAUGACGAACAAAAACCUUUCCCAAACUAACAAACCAAUAGAAUUCCACAAAACCAGAAACGACAUUUUAAAAGUCCCUCAUUAUCAAUCAGUGGCAGAGGCCUUUAAAACCUAAUUGUUUAUGAUUUUCAUUUGAAACACGGGUGGAGUUGUUUUUUUUUUCCUUAUAAAAUGUAAACAUCCCUCAACGAAGAAACAUUCCCUUCAAUUACGUUUACUUGCAAUGGGAUGAGUUGCUCAUUUGGAGGGUCAUUUUCAUGUGAAGUCUGUGAAGAUGUGCGGUGUAUGUAAUUAAUGGCCUGUGCUAUAGUUUGCUGGGCACGUGGCUGACCAAUGGCUGAUCAACUGCAUGUUUAUAUGCUGGGGCCCCUGGUUCAGUCUUAGGGACUUAUGCGCGUUGUAUGUGUUCAUGGGUAUCUUGCAUGAACACGUGUGUACACACAGACUGCUUAAUAAAUAGGAAAAGAGUUUAAAAUUCCAAGUCAGAUAUCUCCAGACCUCUAGUUUAGAUUCUACCGCAUACCAACUCUGUCUUCCUCCACUUUAUUUUUUAUUUAUUUGGGGACAUGUCGCUGUAUCUAAGAACAGAGGACCUACAGGGUGGCUCACAGCUGCCUGGAACUCUAGUCUUACUGGAUCCACCAUCCUCUUCUGACUUCUGUGGGCAUUGCAUGCAUGUGCUGCCCAGACAUACAUGCAGCCGAAACACCAAAACCCAUACAAAUAACACAUAAAUAAAAUGUUAACAAUAUUCUCCCUCCAA